Molecule: ribosomal RNA, 292 nt
Filed under: uncultured bacterium
Lineage: Bacteria
Description: partial 16S ribosomal RNA
Rfam family: Bacterial small subunit ribosomal RNA
Source: RNAcentral
GUGCCAGCCGCCGCGGUAAUACGAAGGGGGCUAGCGUUGCUCGGAAUCACUGGGCGUAAAGCGCACGUAGGCGGGUUGUUAAGUCGGGGGUGAAAUCCUGGAGCUCAACUCCAGAACUGCCUUCGAUACUGGCGACCUUGAGUCCGGGAGAGGUGAGUGGAACUCCGAGUGUAGAGGUGAAAUUCGUAGAUAUUCGGAAGAACACCAGUGGCGAAGGCGGCUCACUGGCCCGGUACUGACGCUGAGGUGCGAAAGCGUGGGGAGCAAACAGGAUUAGAAACCCCCGUAGUCC